UUAGAGUUUGAUCCUGGCUCAGGAGAAACGCUAGCGGAGGGCCUAACACAUGCAAGUCGAGGGGCAUCAAAAAAAAUAUAAGAUAAGUUUACUUAUGUUUUUUGUUUGGCAACCGGCGUACGGGUGAGUAAUACAUACGUAACUUUCCUUAUGCUGAAGGAUAGCCCGAGGAAACUUGGAUUAAUACUUCAUAAUACCAUUUUUUAUUAAGAAAUUUGGUUAAAGUUAUUAUGGCAUAAGAUAGGCGUUUGUCCGAUUAGUUAGUUGGGAAGGUAAUGGCUUCCCAAGACAAUGAUCGGUAGGGGGCCUGAGAGGGCGUCCCCCCACAUUGGUACUGAGACACGGACCAAACUUCUACGGAAGGCAGCAGUGAGGAAUAUUGGUCAAUGGAGGCAACUCUGAACCAGCCACUCCGCGUGUAGGAAGAAGGCAAUUUAGGUUGUAAACUACUUUUGUAUAUGAAUAAAAAAUUCUAUUUUUAGAAAAAUUCUAUUUUUAGAAAAAUUGAAGGUAAUAUACGAAUAAGUAUCGGCCAACUCUGUGCCAGCAGCCGCGGUAAAACAGAGGAUACAAGCGUUAUCCGGGAUUUAUUGGGUUUAAAGGGUGCGUAGGUUGUUUUUUAAGUCAGUAGUGAAAUCUUAAAGCUUAACUUUAAAAGUGCUAUUGAUACUGAUAAACUAGAGUGAGGUUGGAGUAACUGGAAUGUGUGGUGGAGCGGUGAAAUGCAUAGAGAUCACACAGAACACCGAUCGCGAAAGCAGAUUACUAAACCUAGACUGACACUGAGGCACGAAAGCAUGGGUAGCAAACAGGAUUAGAUACCCUGGGUAGUCCAUGCCGUAAACGAUGAUCACUAACUAUUGGAGAAUAAUUCAGUGGUCAAGCGAAAGUGAUAAGUGAUCCACCUGAGGAGUACGACCGCAAGGUUGAAACUCAAAGGAAUUGACGGGGGCCCGCACAAUCGGUGGAGCAUGUGGUUUAAUUCGAUGAUACGCGAGGAACCUUACCAAAACUUAAAUGUAUUACGAAUAAAUUGGAAACAAUUUAGUCAUUAGACGGAGUACAAGGUGCUGCAUGGUUGUCGUCAGCUCGUGCCGUGAGGUGUGAGGUUAAGUCCUUAAACGAGCGCAACCCUUAUUAUUAGUUACCAUCAAGUAAUGUUGGGGACUCUAAUAAGACUGCCGGCGUAAGCCGAGAGGAAGGUGGGGACGACGUCAAGUCAUCACGGCCCUUAUGUUUUGGGCCACACACGUGCUACAAUGAUCGGUACAAAAGGCAGCAACUGGGUGACCAGAAGCAAAUCUUUAAAGCCGAUCUAAGUUCGGAUUGGAGUCUGCAACUCGACUCUAUGAAGCUGGAAUCGCUAGUAAUCGUGCAUCAGCCAUGGCACGGUGAAUAUGUACCCGGGCCUUGUACACACCGCCCGUCAAGCCAUGGAAGUUGGAAGUACCUAAAAUCGGUGACCUUUUUUUAUAGAAGGAAACUGCCUAAGGUAAGUCUAAUAACUAGGGCUAAGUCGUAACA
Molecule: ribosomal RNA, 1524 nt
Filed under: uncultured bacterium
Lineage: Bacteria
Description: bacterial SSU rRNA
Rfam family: Bacterial small subunit ribosomal RNA
Source: RNAcentral